RNAcentral lists this ribosomal RNA (479 nucleotides) under uncultured bacterium. RNAcentral describes it as "bacterial SSU rRNA". It matches the Rfam family "Bacterial small subunit ribosomal RNA", at positions 38 to 524 of the family's 1533-position model. The record is from RNAcentral.
GGCGGCGUGCUUACACAUGCAGUUCUACGCUGAAGCUUGGGUGCUUGCAUCUGGGUGGAUGAGUGGCGAACGGGUGAGUAAUACGUGAGUAACCUGCCCUUGACUCUGGGAUAAGCCUGGGAAACUGGGUCUAAUACUGGGUACUACAUUCUCUCGCAUGGGGGUGUGUGGAAAGGGUUUUACUGGUUUUGGAUGGGCUCACGGCCUAUCAGCUUGUUGGUGGGGUAAUGGCCUACCAAGGCGACGACGGGUAGCCGGCCUGAGAGGGUGACCGGCCACACUGGGACUGAGACACGGCCCAGACUCCUACGGGAGGCAGCAGUGGGGAAUAUUGCACAAUGGGCGAAAGCCUGAUGCAGCGACGCCGCGUGAGGGAUGACGGCCUUCGGGUUGUAAACCUCUUUCAGCACGGAAGAAGCGAAAGUGACAGUACAUGCAUAAGAAACCCCGGCUAACUACGUGCCAGCAGCCGCGGUAAU